This 3247-nucleotide long non-coding RNA is filed under the name Homo sapiens (human). Its description in RNAcentral is "HSALNT0136675". Lineage: Eukaryota; Metazoa; Chordata; Mammalia; Primates; Hominidae. The record is from RNAcentral.
UGAAAUAUCUUAUGUCAAAGCUUUCUUUUCAUUGAAGGAUAAUCCACAGUGAUGGUGGCAGGAGUGGAAUCUUGGAUUCACCACACCUGAGUUAAACUUUGGACAUCCCCUGAGGAACCUGCAGGACUGACAGCUCAGGAGUCCCAAGUUCAGCCAGACCAGACUUGAUACACCUGUGAGCCAUUGGAGGACUUCCAUCUCCUAUUUCAGAAGGAAACAUCCCAGACUAAAAAGACUCCUACAGCUGAUCCUGAGGAAAAACCUUUCCUACGUAAAAAGAUAAGUGAAAACCUACAUAAUCUUUAACACCUCUCCUUUCCCCUUGAAUGGAAUCCUUUUUCUGUUUCAUCGCAUUAUUAAGCAGUAUACUACCAUAUUCUUUGCAGUAGGACUAUAUACUGUAGCUUCUGCAGGGACAACAAUCCUAAUCACGUCAACCUUUUUUCUAUCAUCCUUCCUGCUGACAGCAAUUUACUGCUACCUUUAACUCAGACUGGAUAAAAUGAUCUCAUCUUCUAGGGCACCCUCUUUACCCUCCUACUUACUCUUUGCCUAUCUAUCCCUCCUGCUUCCUUGGACACCCCAGAUAGUCACCCCUCCCCUUCCACUAGCUCCUAAUUACCUCUACAAAACUCUCAACUUAACCUACUCUCUGUUAAACCAGUCCAACCCUUCUCUGGCAAAUGACUGCUGGCUUUGUAUCUCUCUAUCAGCCACUGCGUGUGUUGCCACCCCUGUUCCUGCAAAAAACCCUGUCUUUACUAACUUAACCUACCACCCUCGUUAUGAAGGAAAAGACCCUUUCUGACUUCUAAAUAUGCAAUCAUUAGCCAACUUCCCCAUCUUUGAUAGGACGAAGAAUACCCUAAUAGGAUGCACAAUCCAACUUUUACGGUCUUACAUUUCCAACUUCACUUAUUACAUGAGCAAUGAAAAGCCCUGUAACCACGAAUACUGUCUUAACUUUUCAAGCCCCCUUAUGCAUCCAACACAACCUUUUAUCAGGCCUGCCCCUGGGGCACCUACUAUCCCAUCAGUGUAAUUACACCCUUCAACUUCAAGCCCCAAUUUAUCAUAGUAACUUCUGAAUCACCCAAACAGCUCCAUUCAGAUGGCUUGUCUGCUUCUCAGGGCCUCCAAAAAUCAUCACCUUCUCCCUGCUUAACAAACAGUCUGGAUUUUGUAAUGGCAAAAAUGCUCCCUGCAUGACGAUUCACCCCUGGACCCCCUGCAGCAGUGCCCCCACCACUAAUGAAUGAUUUCUCAUCCCCUCUUUCAAUCACUCCCUUGAAUAGUUCCUAGCAGAUACAAAACGAUUUUUUCUCUAAUGGGAAAAUAGAACACAGGGAGCCACUCAGUUUGCUCCCAACACUCCUUUCCAGCUGCUCACCGGAGCCACAUUGGCAAGUACUCUAGGAGUAUGGGAAAAUGAAAACAACAAACUCACACACCUUUUUAACCUACACAACCAGUUCUGUUUACACAGCCAAGGCAUAUUCUUCUUAUGUGGAACUUCAACUUAUAUCUGCCUCCCCACCAACUGGACAGGCACCUGCACCUUAGUCUUCCUGAGUCCCAACAUUGACAUUGCUCCAGGACAUCAGACCCUAUCAGUGCUUGUCAAAGCUCAAGUCCAUCAGCACAGGGCUGUACAACUAAUACCCCUACUUAUAGGGUUAGGAAUGGCCACUGCUACAGGAGCCGGAAUAGCAAGUUUGUCCACUUCACUAUCCUACUACCACUCACUCUGAAAGGAUUUCUGACAGUUUGCAAGAAAUAACAAAAUAUGUCUUUACAACCCCAAAUAGACUCUUUGGCAGCAGUGACUUUCCAAAACCGCAGAGGCCUAGACCUCCUCACUGCUGAGAAGGGAGGACUUUGCAUCUUCUUAGGGGAAGAGUUUUGCUUUUACACUAAUCAGUCAGGGAUAGUACAAGAUCCCUCCUGGCAUUUACAGGAAAAGGCUUCUGAAAUCAGACAAUGCCAUCUUGCUAUUACUCGCCUUUGGACCCUGUACUUUUAACCUCCUUAUCAAAUAUAUUUCCUCCAGGAGUGAGGCCAUCAAGCUACAGAUGGUCUUACAGAUGGAACCCCAAAUGAGCUCAACUCACAGCUUCUACCGAGGACCCCUGGAUCAACCCACUGGCCAUUUGACUGGAGGUUGCAGGAAGUCAGAGACCCCAAAUGGAGGGACCAGCUGGAGCCAUGGCAGAGGAACAUAAAUUGUGAAGAUUUCAUUUUAAUAUGGACAUUUAUCAAUUCCCAAAUAAUACUUUUAUAAUUUCUUAUGCCUGUCUUUAAUCUAUUAAUCUUGUUAUCUUUGUAAGCUGAGAAUGUACAUCACCUCAGGACCACUAUGACAUUUGAAUUAACUGUACAAAUUUAUUAUAAAACAUGUGUGUUUCAACAAUAUGAAAUCAGUGCACCUUGAAAAAGAACAGAGUAACAGUGAUUUUUCAGGGAACAAGGGAAGACAACCAUAAGGUCUUCUUGCAGAGAGCCUAUAAAUGGAUGUGCAAGUAGGGAGGAUAUCACUAAAUUCUUUUCCUAGCAAGGAAUAUUAAUAAUUAAUACCCUGGGGAAGGAAUGCAUUCCUGGGGAGAGGUCUAUAAACGGCCACUCUGGGAGUGUCUGUCUUAUGUGGUUGAGAUAAGGACUGAAAUAUGCCUUGGUCUCCUGCAGUACCCUCAAGCUUACUAGGAUUGGGAAAUCACCCUGGUAAACUUGUCGUCAGACUGGUUCUCUGCUCUCAAACCCUGUUUUCUUUUGUUUAAGGUGUUUACCAAGACAAUACAUGCACAGCUGAACAUAGACCCUUAUCAGUAGUUCUGAAUUUGCCCUUGUCCUGUUUCCUCAGAAGCAUGUGAUCUUUGUUCUCCUUUUUGCCAUUUGAAGCAUGUGAUCUUGUGAACCUACUUCCUGUUCUUGUACACCCUCCCCUUUUGAAAUCCUUAAUAAAACUUGCUGGUUUUGUGGCGCAGGUGGUCAUCACAGUCCUACCAAUAUGUGAUGUCACCCCUGGAGGCCCAGCUGUAAAAUUCUUCUCUUUGUACUCUUUCUGUUUAUUUCUCAGCUGGUCGACACUUAUGGAAAAUAGAAAGAACCUACAUUGAAAUAUUGGGGGCUGGUUCCCCCGAUAACUGGCCUAGAGAUUUCCCCUCCAGAGAACACUACAACUGCAGGGCCCCUUCUUCACCCCAUCCAGCAGGAAGUAGCUAGAGUGGUCAUCACCCAAUUCCCAGCAGCA